RNAcentral lists this ribosomal RNA (404 nucleotides) under uncultured bacterium. RNAcentral describes it as "bacterial SSU rRNA". It matches the Rfam family "Bacterial small subunit ribosomal RNA", at positions 355 to 774 of the family's 1533-position model. The record is from RNAcentral.
UGGGGAAUAUUGCACAAUGGGGGAAACCCUGAUGCAGCGACGCCGCGUGAAGGACGACGUAUUUCGGUAUGUAAACUUCUAUCAGCAGGGAAGAAAAGAUGACGGUACCUGACUAAGAAGCCCCGGCUAACUACGUGCCAGCAGCCGCGGUAAUACGUAGGGGGCAAGCGUUAUCCGGAUUUACUGGGUGUAAAGGGAGCGUAGGCGGCGCGGCAAGUCAGAAGUGAAAACCCAGGGCUUAACUCUGGGAUUGCUUUUGAAACUGUCGGGCUGGAUUGCCGGAGAGGUAAGUGGAAUUCCUAGUGUAGCGGUGAAAUGCGUAGAUAUUAGGAGGAACACCAGUGGCGAAGGCGGCUUACUGGACGGCGAAUGACGCUGAGGCUCGAAAGCGUGGGGAGCAAACA